RNAcentral lists this ribosomal RNA (505 nucleotides) under uncultured bacterium. RNAcentral's name for it is "partial 16S ribosomal RNA". It matches the Rfam family "Bacterial small subunit ribosomal RNA", at positions 28 to 507 of the family's 1533-position model. The record is from RNAcentral.
GACGAACGCUGGCGGCGUGCCUAAUACAUGCAAGUAGGACGCACAGUCUAUACCGUAGCUUGCUACACCAUAGGCUGUGAGUUGCGAACGGGUGAGUAACGCGUAGGUAACCUGCCUAUUAGAGGGGGAUAACUAUUGGAAACGAUAGCUAAUACCGCAUAACAGUAUGUAACACAUGUUAGAUGCUUGAAAGAUGCAAUUGCAUCGCUAGUAGAUGGACCUGCGUUGUAUUAGCUAGUAGGUAGGGUAAUGGCCUACCUAGGCGACGAUACAUAGCCGACCUGAGAGGGUGAUCGGCCACACUGGGACUGAGACACGGCCCAGACUCCUACGGGAGGCAGCAGUAGGGAAUCUUCGGCAAUGGGGGGAACCCUGACCGAGCAACGCCGCGGGAGUGAAGAAGGUUUUCGGAUCGUAAAGCUCUGUUGUUAAGGAAGAACGAGUGUGAGAAUGGAAAGUUCAUACUGUGACGGUACUUAACCAGAAAGGGACGGCUAACUACGUG